UUGGUUCUGGCAUCGAUGAAGAACGCAGCGAAAUGCGAUAAGUAGUGUGAAUUGCAGAAUUCAGUGAAUCAUCGAAUCUUUGAACGCACAUUGCGCCCUUUGGUAUUCCAAAGGGCAUGCCUGUUCGAGCGUCAUUUGUACCCUCAAGCUUUGCUUGG
This 158-nucleotide ribosomal RNA is filed under the name Alternaria sp. Its description in RNAcentral is "5.8S ribosomal RNA". The stretch from base 1 to 134 matches the Rfam family "5.8S ribosomal RNA", at positions 21 to 154 of the family's 154-position model. From Rfam's summary of the family: 5.8S ribosomal RNA (5.8S rRNA) is a component of the large subunit of the eukaryotic ribosome. It is transcribed by RNA polymerase I as part of the 45S precursor that also contains 18S and 28S rRNA. The record is from RNAcentral. Lineage: Eukaryota; Fungi; Ascomycota; Dothideomycetes; Pleosporales; Pleosporaceae.